AAUAUGGGACAAUGGGGGCAACCCUGAUCCAGCCAUGCCGCGUGUGUGAAGAAGGNCUNNGGAUUNUNAAGCCCUUUAAGUUGNNNNNAAGGGGUUGAANCUAAUACCUUCAAUCUUUGACGUUACCAACAGAUUAAGCACCGGCUAACUCUGUUCCAGCAGCCGCGGUAAUACAGAGGGUGCCAGCGUUAAACGGAAUUACUGGGCGUAAAGCGCGCGUAGGUGGUUCAGUAAGAUUGGUGUGAAAUCCCCGGGCUUAACCUGGGAACUGCUUUCAUAACUGCUGAGCUAGAGUACGGUAGAGGGUAAUGGAAUUUCCUGUGUAGCGGUGAAAUGCGUAGAUAUAGGAAGGAACACCAGUGGCGAAGGCGACUACCUGGACUGAUACUGACACUGAGGUGCGAAAGCGUGGGGAGCAAACA
RNAcentral lists this ribosomal RNA (422 nucleotides) under uncultured bacterium. RNAcentral's name for it is "partial 16S ribosomal RNA". It matches the Rfam family "Bacterial small subunit ribosomal RNA", at positions 360 to 774 of the family's 1533-position model. The record is from RNAcentral.